CAGUCAAAUCAUGCUGAAAAGACACUGGUUCUUAUUCGAUCACUGAAGUUAAGCAGUGUUGAGUCUGGUCAGUACUUAGAUGGGAGACCGCUCGGAAACACCGGGACCUGU
Non-coding RNA from Acanthosepion pharaonis, 111 nucleotides. The record is from the annotation of a GenBank genome assembly. Lineage: Eukaryota; Metazoa; Mollusca; Cephalopoda; Sepiida; Sepiidae.